ACUAACCUCUGUGAAGUUAUGUGCUAACUGUACAUUUCUGUCUGAUGGAAUGCAAAUGUUUCAGUAUGGUGAUGUAAAUCUUUAAGUGCUUGACUACCAGCUGGAAGCUUGGUGGUUUGAAGCCACCCAUUGAUAGUUUAAACCCACCCAGAUGGCCUGGAAGAAAGGCCUGGCAAUCUUCUUCCGAAAGGUGGCAGCCUCGAAAACCUUGAAACCUUAUGAAACAGUUCUACUCUGUACAUGUGGGGUCACCAAGAGUCAGAAUCAAUUCCACACACACACACACCCUUUUAGUUCAGUAAUGAAGUCACUCCCGAGGUUCACCCUUCAGCCAAAGAUUACCCGACCCAGUGCCAGGGCCAUAAAACAAAAUGAGACUAAAGGGGCACACCAGCCCAGGGGCAAGGACCAGAAGGCAGGAGGGGACAGGAAAGCUGGUAAUAGGGAACCCAGGGUCAAGAAUGGAGAGUGUUGACAUGUCGUGGGGUUGUUAACCAAUGUCAUAAAAUAAUGUGUACUGUUUAAUAAAAAAGCUAGUUUGCUCUCUAAACCUUCAUCUAAAGUACAAUAAAAAAUUAAAUAAAAAAAAAGAUAACCCAAGAGUUGUGGAUUUUUUGCCCCACAGGACAUUUAUCACUUUUGUGUAUGCCCUAGCAAUCUGAUUUCAAUUUUUUCUCCACUGCCUGUAUAACCCCUGCUCCUCAGUUGCUCCUUUGAACCAUCCUACUCCUUGCCUCAUUAAUGAAUAAGUCUUUGCCACAGGUUCGCUCCAUAUUUGAAUGGUAGUCAUGUUUUUAACUUUUUGAAAAUUAUACUUCCAGGUUCUCUGGAUAGAAUUUAUAGAACCAUUAAAAUCAUGUUUUGGGGAGGAUUUAAUGAUGCAAGAAAUGCCCAUAAUAUGAAGUGAAAAAUGCAAGACACAAAACAUUGCAUAUGGUAUGGUUCCAAUUUUAUCAAUAUAUAUUUAUAGGAACACACACAAAGGCUUGAGAGGGGAAAAAUAAAAGAUCAAUAGCAACUGUGGAUUUGGGGAUUACAGACCGUUUUAUCUCUUUUACAUUUUUCAUUACUUUCCAGGUUUUCUACAGCAAUUCCACAUGACUGAGUGGUCUCCAAGGGUUUAGAACUCAGGGAGGGCGUCUGUGCUAGGAUCAGUAACCGGCUUUCCUUCUUUGUUCAAGCUUUUCCCCUGCACUAAGUCCAGACAGGGUCGCUAUGACAAGGAAUCGACUCCACGGCACACAACAAACGCUAACUCAGGUCUCAUGCUAGUCUUUGGGGGAUCAGAGAUGGAUAAAACAUGGCUCCCUACCCCUCAAGGAACCCUCCGUGCCCGGGAAAAAGACAACUUCCACGAACUCUCUGUGAGCUCCGUGUGCCUCAGUUCCUUUUUCGGUACAAGAGCUCAAAGGUCGGUUGGGUCUGUCGGCUGGAGCGCCGAGGGACAGCCAGACCUCGCGCCUGGAAGCUCCGCACCAUCCGGUCGAGCAAGCCUCCCUGCUUGGCUGGAGUGCCCGGGUCGAUGCCUGCCGGUGGAUCGCGACCACGGGGUCCCCUUGCGCUCCGCCCCGCCCCGGCUGGGCCGGCACUCGCUUUAAUUUCAAAACGCUGACAGUUGGUCCCGCAAGACAGUAGUCUGGAGUCUGCCCAGCCCGCCUGUGGCGUCGGAUUCAGGGCUGAGCUUUCUCGGGUCGUAAAGACAGAGUCCGGGCACCGCCCCCCCGGACGGUUCCUUCCCCGAAAUCGGCCCGGAGCCCCCGGGGGAUGCGACGGGGAAGGAGAGAGUCCGGGAAAGUAGUUAUGAGAAAUAGGGGUAUCAUUCAGCAUCCAAGUUGGAUGCAGCGAGUCCAACCUCUUGGCUUCACAGAGGGGGAAACUAAGGCCCAAAGAACGCAGCCCUCGGGUGGAGUGCAAAGAAAGUCCUGAUUUCCAGUGCCAGUGUGAACCCCAAUCCUUGGCACGGCCGUGGGCAAGUCCUUUCCCUUCCCUGGGCCUCAGUUUCCCCGCCUGCAAAUGAGUGUGUCGGACUAUAUUUCCAAAGGGGUUCCGCCAGUGCAGGGGUCGGUAGUCAACAGCAAGGAAUACCCAGCGCACCGCCCCAGCCAGGGCUCCCGCCGCCUCCCAGUGCCAUGCUGGGUCUGGGGCAUAUCCCACCUCACCAGCGUGCGCCUGGCAUGGAGUAUGGACCCCGGAUCCCCGGGGCCCGCGCAGGUUACUCCAGGUGCUCAGGGUGAUGCUGCGGUUAGGCGGGUGAGAAGGUCAAGAAGGAAAGACAAAGAGAAAGAAAGAAAAAUUGGGAGAGAGAUUGAGAAAGAGCCAGAGAUUGACAGAGAGGCGGAGUGGAGAUCAGCUACCGUGAGAAAACGGAGGAGGAGAGACGGGAAGAACAGCGGAAAAGAAGCCAGAGCAGAAAAACAGAGGAAAGAGAGGGAGGGAGGCAAAACAGGGAAGGGGCCAGUUGUCUUCUGUCCAGGGUCUCCCCAGCCACCACCACCACCCAGAACGCACAAUGUGGAAACAAAGGCUUCGCUGGGGCCGGCUGGGGCGCAGGGGUUGCAUCCCCGGCACUCAGUGCGCGCAGGGCGGCUCCCAGGGCUCAGGCCCCCAGCCCACCCGCCUCCUUCCCCCCGCGCCCACCACUUACUUCUCGUCCAUCCCGGCGCCCGCACCGCCCGCGGCCGGAGCAGCGGCAGAGCGAGCACGAGCAGGCAGAGCCGGGCGGCGCCCGCGCCCCCGGGCAUGGCGGCGGCGGCGGCCCGUAGCGCGCUCCGCGCUCACACACCAGCGGCCAUGCCCGCCCCCCAGCCCAGCAGCCGUGCCGGCGGUGUCUGAAACCCACCGCUAGCCCUCUGUCUCCCCGCCAGGCUCCCAGCCCUCCGCCGUGACGCUCCGCCUCCAUGGCCCCACCAAGGGGUGGAGGAGAGGACGCGCCAGCCUGGAGGGGGCUGGAGGGAACAGGGCGGAGCCAAGAGGACCCCUAGGGAGUAGGGCGGGUUCAGCAGGACACAAAUCAAGGAGCCAUUCCUUCUGACUGGAGGAGGGGGUGGUGAAGACAAGGAAUCCCAGAGGAGAAGGCAUCUGAGCUUGGGAGGAGAAGUGGAGCACCAGGCAGAGGAAACGGCCUAGACAAACGCUGGGGUGUGAAAGCUCAUGGACUGUAUAGGGGAAAACCAGAAGUUGGGAUGGUUGGAGUUUACGGCUUUGGAGGUAAAUGAAGGCAGAUGAGACCAGGAAAUAAUAAUAAUGGCUAUCACUUAUUGAGGGCUUAGUAUCUGCUAGAAAAAGCAAAUAACAGCUAAGACUGAUAAUGAUAGCUAAGACUGAUACAGCACUUACUGACAGACACUGUCCUCAGCACUUUGCAUAUAUUAACUUAUUUAAUUAAUCAAGGAAAAGAACCACGUUUUAUUGGCCUUUGAUGUGUGUCAAGGGCGGAACAACUGGUCUCUAUUCAUCUGGAGCAACAAAGGAAGAAAGAGAGUCAGGAAUAGGAGAAGGAUAUGGCGUAUGUAACUAAUUGCCUCCAUGAACAACUCCCUCCUUUGCCAUAAGACCAGAGCUGAAUGGUGCCUGGCUGCCAUUACUGAACUUGAUCAAAGAUUCAAUAGAAGAAUCCUGAUCAAAAGGGGGAAAAUUCAGAUCAGAAUUUCAAAGUCUCAGAGAUUCUAGACUUUCUGGAGCCAUGGAGGGUGGAUGAACCCCUGAAACUAUUGCCCUGAGAUAAUCUUUAAACCUUAAACCAAAAAUAUCCCCUGAAGUCAUCUUAAAACUGAACAAUAGUUUAGCUUAACUAGAAAAAAAAGUUCUGCCUUGAGCAUUGUGCUCUUUUAAGAACUGUCUAUGUGUGAUCGAAUUGACAGCGGCAACGCUGAAGAUUAGGUAGGAACGUUAGGGGCCGGUGAGUUUAUGUUAAUGGGAGAGGAACCACCAGGAAAAGGAGAGUGACAAUGGUUGUACAACUGGAAGAAUGUGAUCAAUGUCACUAAAUUGUACGUUUAGAAAUUGUUGAAUUGGUCUGUGUUUUGCUGUGUAUAUUCUCAAUAACAACAGCGAAGUAAAUAAAAUUUAGGGGAAAAAAAAAAA
This is a long non-coding RNA of Loxodonta africana (African savanna elephant), 4083 nucleotides long. RefSeq lists it as uncharacterized. Lineage: Eukaryota; Metazoa; Chordata; Mammalia; Proboscidea; Elephantidae. The record is from RefSeq and is a predicted model, not a curated record. The transcript is spliced from 2 exons.